AAUGAACGCUGGCGGCAUGCCUAACACAUGCAAGUCGAACGAAGGCUUCGGCCUUAGUGGCGCACGGGUGCGUAACGCGUGGGAAUCUGCCCUUGGGUUCGGAAUAACAGUUAGAAAUGACUGCUAAUACCGGAUGAUGUCGUAAGACCAAAGAUUUAUCGCCCAAGGAUGAGCCCGCGUAGGAUUAGCUAGUUGGUGGGGUAAAGGCCUACCAAGGCGACGAUCCUUAGCUGGUCCGAGAGGAUGAUCAGCCACACUGGGACUGAGACACGGCCCAGACUCCUACGGGAGGCAGCAGUGGGGAAUAUUGGACAAUGGGCGAAAGCCUGAUCCAGCAAUGCCGCGUGAGUGAUGAAGGCCUUAGGGUUGUAAAGCUCUUUUACCCGGGAUGAUAAUGACAGUACCGGGAGAAUAAGCUCCGGCUAACUUCGUG
This 433-nucleotide ribosomal RNA is filed under the name uncultured bacterium. Its description in RNAcentral is "partial 16S ribosomal RNA". It matches the Rfam family "Bacterial small subunit ribosomal RNA", at positions 29 to 507 of the family's 1533-position model. The record is from RNAcentral.